This 374-nucleotide ribosomal RNA is filed under the name uncultured bacterium. Its description in RNAcentral is "bacterial SSU rRNA". It matches the Rfam family "Bacterial small subunit ribosomal RNA", at positions 524 to 898 of the family's 1533-position model. The record is from RNAcentral.
UACGGGGGUGGCAAGCGUUGUCCGGAAUUACUAGGCGUAAAGGGCAGGUAGGCGGAUAUUCAAGUCAGGCGUUAAAGGCAUCAGCUCAACUGGUGUACGGCGUUUGAAACUGGAUAUCUAGAGUCAGGUAGAGGUAGAUGGAAUUCCUAGUGUAGCGGUGGAAUGCGCAGAGAUUAGGAAGAACACCAAAGGCGAAGGCAAUCUACUGGGCCAUGACUGACGCUAAACUGCGAAGGUGUGGGUAUCAAACAGGAUUAGAUACCCUGGUAGUCCACACAGUAAACGAUAUACACUAGAUGUCGGGGGGAAUCUCCUUCGGUGUCGUAGUUAACGCGAUAAGUGUAUCGCCUGGGGAGUACGAUCGCAAGGUUGAA